This 2484-nucleotide long non-coding RNA is filed under the name Piliocolobus tephrosceles (Ugandan red Colobus). RNAcentral describes it as "lncRNA (ENSPTEG00000002340.1)". Lineage: Eukaryota; Metazoa; Chordata; Mammalia; Primates; Cercopithecidae. The record is from RNAcentral.
UCUCCCAAAGUGCUGGGAUGACAGGUGUGAGCCACUGCGCCCGGCCUGCUAAGCGUAGUCUUAUUGAAGUUUUCAGCCAAUAGAUGUGGGAGUACUCUUUCAUUCUCAUUUACAGAUGGGGAAACUGAGGCACAGAGGGAAUACAUCGAGGGUCCCAAGCUCGAAAAUAGUGAACCAGGAUCUAAAAUUCAGCCAGAACUACUUUUAAUCCCUACACUCUAUGCACCUCAGAGCUUCAAAGUCCUCAUCUUUUAAAUGGGGGUAACAGCAGCAAGUCCUCAGAGGUGUCCUGAGCCUCAAAACAUAGCCUGGUAUUUAACGUCCACAGCCUCAGCAGGGGCUGGGCACAGAACAAGCACUCAGGACCUGGAAGGUGCCAGCGACACUUGGUCCUUUCCUCCCAGGCACAAGGCAGCCCACCACUCUCCAUUCAAGCUCUGCCCCAGCCCAGCAAAGAGAGGGGUCCUCAGCCACAGCUCCCGCCACUACCACAAUCAUACUCACCCCUCCUGGUCUCUAUGUGACACAGGACCUGCCGCCGCCAGGGAGACAGGCAGAGGCACUGCCACUCCCACUCUGCCCUGUCCUGACUCAGAUCACCCAUGGCCCAGCCUCAGGGGAUGCUGCUGGGGUGCAAUGGCAUGUGGAAGGGUAGGAGGGAUAGGAGGAGGAGGAGGAGGCCCCUGGGGAGGUGGCUCUCCAUCUCUCUGUCUUUCUGGGUGUAGCACCUCCUGGAGUUGGCACCAGGCCCUGACCAGUUUCACCCCAUUCAGCCUUCGCAGAAAGGCUGGCACAUGGAUCCCUCAGCCUGACCAGAUACCAGCCUCCUGUCAUGAGCAAUGCUCCAUCUCCACCACAGCGCCCCCCACAGGCAGGCCCCCCCACACCUGAGCAGAGUCCACUUCCAGAAUAGUGCUCCCUAUGCAGGUGACACACUCUAUCCAAACCCAGCACCCCAAAAUCCCCAAGCAGGGGAAGCAAAGCCAAUGUUCAGCCCUGCAGUCCCUACACAGGUGCCACAAAUUCCAGCCCUGCCCCACAGCACAGCCUCUGAAUUCGGGCUCACAGCCCGAAUUCCUGCUAACACCCUUUUGCCCCUGUUCCUCAGAAGCCCACCACAGGCCUGUUGGCCAUCACGCUGGCCCUCCACCUCUGUGACUUGGUGCACAUUGCCGGCUUCGGCUACCCAGAUGCCUACAACAAGAAGCAGACCAUUCACUACUAUGAGCAGAUCACGCUCAAGUCCAUGGCGGGGUCAGGCCAUAAUGUCUCCCAAGAGGCCCUGGCCAUUAAGCGGAUGCUGGAGAUGGGAGCCGUCAAGAACCUCACGUCCUUCUGACCUGGGCAAGAGUUGUAGCCUGUCGGCUGCCUACUCUGCUGUCUGGGUGACCCCCGUCCGUGGCUGUGGGGGUGCCUGGUGCCAGUAUGACCCACUUGGACUCACCCCCUCUUGGGGAGGGAGUUCUGGGCCUGGCCAGGUCUGAGAUGAGGCCAUGCCCCUGGCUGCUCUUAUGGAGCCGAGAUCCAGUCAGGGUGGGGGUGCUGGAACCAUGGGAGCCCGGCCAGGGCAGGGGGCUCGUUGCUGUGGCACCCCCUCUCUGCCAGCACCAAGAGAUUAUUUAAUGGGCUAUUUAAUUAAGGGGUAGGAAGGUGCUGUGGGCUGGUCCCAUGCAUCCAGGAAAGAGGCCAGUAGAGUCUUCUGCCCACUUUUUAUAAAAACCUGCAGUGAUGGCCCCACCAAGGCCUAGACAUAGCACCGGCCUCCCAGGAGGGCAGGGGCAUUGGGAAUGGGUGGGUGCCCUCCAGAGAGGAGCUGCUACCUCCCAGCAGGCAUGGGAAGAGCACUGGUGUGGGGGUUCCACCGAGAAGGGGACCUCAUCUAGAAAAGAGGUUACAAACCUACCAUUAAACUAUUUUUCCUAAAACGGAAGCAGUUGUGAUGUCCUGUGUCCUUUCAGGUGGGGAAAGGCAUGGGAUGGGGUGUAGCACUUGGCAGGCUUGUUAGACCAGAGCAGGGCAUGAUCACUUGGGAAAUAAUUACCUAUUGAGUCCAGUGUUGGGUGCCUGGUCAUGCAUUAUCACCCUGGCACAGCAGGCGAGUGAGUGGUGCUCGCCGCAGCCCUGUCUGCAGACACCCAGCCUGGCACCCUGCAUUCUGGGUUACUGCCCAGAGGAGGGAGGGGCUGGAGGAUGCCAGAUGAGAGUGCCAGCAUCCUCUCCCACCUUCCUUCCUCUCUCCCCCACCAUUCUUCAGUUACCCAAAUCUCAUGCUUGGGAGGUACGUGUUUUAAGGACAGGGGUGGGGUCAGACAAAGAAAGCCAAGUUUCCCUUCUCAGAUUAAGUGGGAACCAGAAAAUGGAGUUUAUGGAAGGUCUUGCCAGCAGCCCAGGCUGCCAGGAUGGGGUGGGCAGGCCUGGAGGGCAGCGUCGAAGGGAUUUGGCAAGGCCUAUCAGCCAGUUGCUGGGCCAGGGGAUGAAACGGUU